Molecule: ribosomal RNA, 242 nt
Filed under: bacterium
Lineage: Bacteria
Description: partial 16S ribosomal RNA
Rfam family: Bacterial small subunit ribosomal RNA
Source: RNAcentral
UUACUGGGCGUAAAGCGCGCGUAGGUGGUUUGUUAAGUUGGAUGUGAAAUCCCCGGGCUCAACCUGGGAACUGCAUUCAAAACUGACUGACUAGAGUAUGGUAGAGGGUGGUGGAAUUUCCUGUGUAGCGGUGAAAUGCGUAGAUAUAGGAAGGAACACCAGUGGCGAAGGCGACCACCUGGACUAAUACUGACACUGAGGUGCGAAAGCGUGGGGAGCAAACAGGAUUAGAUACCCCGGUA